This 481-nucleotide ribosomal RNA is filed under the name uncultured bacterium. RNAcentral's name for it is "partial 16S ribosomal RNA". It matches the Rfam family "Bacterial small subunit ribosomal RNA", at positions 28 to 523 of the family's 1533-position model. The record is from RNAcentral.
GACGAACGCUGGCGGCGUGCUUAACACAUGCAAGUCGAACGAUGAAGGAGAGCUUGCUCUCCGGAUUAGUGGCGAACGGGUGAGUAACACGUGACUAACCUGCCCCUUUCUCUGGGAUAACGCUCCGAAAGGAGUGCUAAUACCGGAUACGAACUCUGAACACAUGUUCGGAGUUGGAAAGUUUUUCGGAAAGGGAUGGGGUCGCGGCCUAUCAGCUUGUUGGUGAGGUAACGGCUCACCAAGGCGACGACGGGUAGCCGGCCUGAGAGGGCGACCGGCCACACUUGGACUGGUACACGGCCCAGACUCCUACGGGAGGCAGCAGUGGGGAAUAUUGCACAAUGGUCGAAAGCCUGAUGCAGCGGCGCCGCGUGAGGGAUGAAGGUCUUCGGAUUGUAAACCUCUUUCAGUAGGGACGAAGCGAAAGUGACGGUACCUAAAGAAGAAGCACCGGCUAACUACGUGCCAGCAGCCGCCGUAA